RNAcentral lists this transfer RNA (67 nucleotides) under Marmota monax (woodchuck). RNAcentral describes it as "tRNA.Ala". It matches the Rfam family "tRNA". From Rfam's summary of the family: Transfer RNA (tRNA) molecules are approximately 80 nucleotides in length. Their secondary structure includes four short double-helical elements and three loops (D, anti-codon, and T loops). Lineage: Eukaryota; Metazoa; Chordata; Mammalia; Rodentia; Sciuridae. The record is from RNAcentral.
GGUUGUAGCUCAGUGAUAGAGCACUUGCCUCGCAUGUGUGAGGCCCUGGGUUAGAUCCUCAGCACCA